UCCUGGUUAACCCAGGCAGUCUAAUUAGAGUGCCCAACUUAAUGCUGGCAACUAAUUAUAGGGGUUGCGCUCGUUGCGAGACUUAACCCAACAUUUCACAACACGAGCUGACGACAGCCAUGCAGCACCUCUCACUACAUUUCCUUGCGGACACCAUGACGUUUCUGCCACGUUCGUAGGAGUUCAAGCCCAGGUAAGGUUCUGCGCGUUGCUUCGAAUUAAACCACAUAAUCCACCGCUUGUGCGGGCCCCCGUCAAUUUGUUUGAGUUUUAGUCUUGCGACCGUACUCCCCAGGCGGAGAACUUAAUGCGUUAGCUGCGUUUCCGAAGGAGUCAAUACCUCCAAAAACUAGUUCUCAUCGUUUACGGCGUGGACUAC
This 379-nucleotide unclassified non-coding RNA is filed under the name uncultured Bacteriovoracaceae bacterium. Its description in RNAcentral is "contains 16S-23S intergenic spacer region". The record is from RNAcentral. Lineage: Bacteria; Pseudomonadati; Bdellovibrionota; Bacteriovoracia; Bacteriovoracales; Bacteriovoracaceae.